RNAcentral lists this ribosomal RNA (271 nucleotides) under uncultured soil bacterium. RNAcentral's name for it is "partial 16S ribosomal RNA". It matches the Rfam family "Bacterial small subunit ribosomal RNA", at positions 26 to 325 of the family's 1533-position model. The record is from RNAcentral.
AGAGCGAACGCUGGCGGCAGGCUUAACACAUGCAAGUCGAGCGCCCCGCAAGGGGAGCGGCAGACGGGUGAGUAACACGUGGGAACGUGCCUUUUGGUUCGGAACAACACAGGGAAACUUGUGCUAAUACCGGAUAAGCCCUUACGGGGGAAAGAUUUAUCGCCAAAAGAUCGGCCCGCGUCUGAUUAGCUAGUUGGUGGGGUAAUCGGCCCACCAAGGCGACGAUCAGUAGCUGGUCUGAGAGGAUGAUCAGCCACAUUGGGACUGAGAC